Molecule: transfer RNA, 76 nt
Filed under: Candidatus Pelagibacteraceae bacterium
Lineage: Bacteria; Pseudomonadati; Pseudomonadota; Alphaproteobacteria; Candidatus Pelagibacterales; Candidatus Pelagibacteraceae
Also listed under: 2 other names
Description: tRNA-Asn
Rfam family: tRNA
About the family: Transfer RNA (tRNA) molecules are approximately 80 nucleotides in length. Their secondary structure includes four short double-helical elements and three loops (D, anti-codon, and T loops).
Source: RNAcentral
UCCGCCUUAGCUCAGUUGGUAGAGCGCUUGACUGUUAAUCAGGUUGUCGCUGGUUCGAGCCCAGCAGGCGGAGCCA